CCUACGGGAGGCAGCAGUGAGGAAUAUUGGUCAAUGGGCGAGAGCCUGAACCAGCCAAGUCGCGUGAGGGAGUACUGCCCUAUGGGUUGUAAACCUCUUUUGUCGGGGAGCAAAAGCCGGACGUGUCCGGCUGUGAGAGUACCCGAAGAAAAAGCAUCGGCUAACUCCGUGCCAGCAGCCGCGGUAAUACGGAGGAUGCGAGAGUUAUCCGGAUUUAUUGGGUUUAAAGGGUGCGCAGGCGGAUUUUUAAGUCAGCGGUAAAAUCGUGGGGCUCAACCCCAUCCAGCCGUUGAAACUGGGGAUCUAGAGUGUGCGAGAGGUAUGCGGAAUGCGUGGUGUAGCGGUGAAAUGCAUAGAUAUCACGCAGAACCCCGAUUGCGAAGGCAGCAUACCGGUGCACAACUGACGCUCAGGCACGAAAGCGUGGGUAUCGAACAGGAUUAGAUACCCGAGUAGUC
This 458-nucleotide ribosomal RNA is filed under the name uncultured bacterium. Its description in RNAcentral is "partial 16S ribosomal RNA". It matches the Rfam family "Bacterial small subunit ribosomal RNA", at positions 338 to 795 of the family's 1533-position model. The record is from RNAcentral.